RNAcentral lists this ribosomal RNA (279 nucleotides) under uncultured bacterium. RNAcentral's name for it is "partial 16S ribosomal RNA". It matches the Rfam family "Bacterial small subunit ribosomal RNA", at positions 506 to 784 of the family's 1533-position model. The record is from RNAcentral.
UGCCAGCCGCCGCGGUAAUACGGAGGGUGCAAGCGUUGUUCGGAAUUAUUGGGCGUAAAGCGCGUGUAGGCGGUUCGUUAAGUCUGAUGUGAAAGCCCGGGGCUCAACCCCGGAAGUGCAUUGGAAACUGGCGAACUUGAGUACGGGAGAGGAAAGUGGAAUUCCGAGUGUAGGGGUGAAAUCCGUAGAUAUUCGGAGGAAUGCCGAUGGGGAAGCCAGCCCACUGGACAGAUACUGACGCUAAAGCGCGAAAGCGUGGGUAGCAAACAGGAUUAGAUA